GACGAACGCUGGCGGCGUGCCUAACACAUGCAAGUCGAGCGGGGACUUAUGGAAUGAAGCUUCGGCAGAAUGAAGUAAGUUCUAGCGGCGGACGGGUGAGUAAUGCAUAGGAAUCUGCCCGGUAGUGGGGGAUAACCUGGGGAAACCCAGGCUAAUACCGCAUACGUCCUACGGGAGAAAGCAGGGGACCUUCGGGCCUUGCGCUAUCGGAUGAGCCUAUGUCGGAUUAGCUGGUUGGUGAGGUAAUGGCUCACCAAGGCGACGAUCCGUAGCUGGUCUGAGAGGAUGAUCAGCCACAUUGGGACUGAGACACGGCCCAG
RNAcentral lists this ribosomal RNA (320 nucleotides) under uncultured bacterium. RNAcentral's name for it is "bacterial SSU rRNA". It matches the Rfam family "Bacterial small subunit ribosomal RNA", at positions 28 to 334 of the family's 1533-position model. The record is from RNAcentral.